This 38468-nucleotide long non-coding RNA is filed under the name Medicago truncatula (barrel medic). RNAcentral's name for it is "long non-coding RNA (MTRU_LNC006388)". Lineage: Eukaryota; Viridiplantae; Streptophyta; Magnoliopsida; Fabales; Fabaceae. The record is from RNAcentral.
UUUUACUUUUUUUUUUUUUUUUUUUUUUUUUUUGUGUUUUCUUGUUUUCCUUAUAUUUUUUUACCAAAUUAAUAUUUUCUAAUCGUUUCUUUAUUUUUCUAGUAUUUUUUGGUUCUUUAUUUUAAAAUAGGGGGUAAAAUUCUGAAAAACGUAAAAUAGAGGGGGUAAAAUUCCGAGUUUUAAAAUAAGGGGGGCAAAAUCCCGAUUCAAUCAAAAUAGAGGGGGUAAAAUUCCGAAUUUUAAAAUAGGGGGGGUAAAAUUCAGAUUCAAUCAAAAUAGGGGGGGUAAAAUUGCAUUUAAGCCUUUUGUAUUUUGUUGUGUUAUGUUUCUUGAUCAAAUUAGUUAAGAUCUACUUAUAAGUCACACAUUACUAUCAAAUAGAAGGUGUUGACUCAUCUUAGUGACCUUUUAAUUUUAUAUGGUCAAUCCUUUUAAAAAGCAAUUAACAUAUGAUAAUGCUAAUUUAUUUGAAAAAUCAUUUUUAUAUUAAGAUGACCAUUGACCAAUAUACUUUCACAUAAUUAUAUAUAUAUAUAUAUAUAGCUGUCAAAAUAGGCCGGGCCGUACGGGUCGGUCCGAAAACCCGAAUAAAAUGCAGGGCCUGGGCCGAAUAAUAGAAGCCUGAAUUUUUUCAGGGCUUUUUAGCCCGGCCCAAAAAAGCCCGUAGCCCGUUAGGGCUGAGGGCAGCCCGGCUAAAAUUGAUCCAAUCUAAUCCUAGAAAUGAAGUGGCCUUCAACCUUCUAACUGUGUUAUUGGUAACGCUUCACUAAUUUAAUAAAUGAAAUGAAAAGUACUUUGAAAUAACUGUAUAUAUUGAGAAAGUAUCAAAUAAUCUUGUGAAGGUUGCAACAAUUGUGAAAGAAUAUGUCGCUUCUGUCAUCUGAUAUGCUGUUGUUGUGUUUAUUUAUGGCCUAUUUUUUGUUUAUAUAAGUGCUUAAGCUGAGCCAAAAGUAUGUUAAUAAUUGAGCUUUGUGAUGGAUCCGUUUCAAACUUGCUUUAUGAUGGAUCUGUUUUGUUUCAAACUUGCCAAAAGUAUGUUAAUAUUGAGCUUUGUAUCUCCGGCCUUAUGCACUUCUGCUAGGCUGUUUUGUUGGAAUAAUAUUAUGCUAAACUAUCUUGGUUAAGUCUUGUUAUGUAGAAUUUUAGUUUGGCAAUUAUUAUAAGAAACAUUCAACCAAUUUUAUUAUUCUUAUGUCUCUCUUUAUACGCUAAAUAUUUAAUUAAGUGGUCAUGCUUUUAUGCUCUAUAUUUAUCAAUCAAAUUUCUUAAAGAAUGGAAAGAGAGAAAAAAAAAAAAAGGAAAAAGAAAAGGGUCAGGGCUGGCUCGUUAGCCCGGAAGCCCGUACAGGGCCGGGCUCGGGCUCUAUUUUUCCAGCCCAUAUUCAAACAAGGCUUUUCAGCCCGGCCCUUAAAAGCUCGUUACCCGGUCGGUCGGGGCUGCCCGUUUUGACAGCUAUAUAUAUAUAUAAGGUGUAUUUUAGCAACCCACACUUCAAGGUGUGAUUUCCACUUUUUAGUUAUAACUUUGUUAAAAGAUACUUUCAUAAAAAUUAAUUGGUGUCUUUUAACAAAUGCUCAUAGAAUAAAUUGCUAAAAAACACCUUCAAAAAGGUGUCUAAAAGAUAUUUUUUUAGCAAAACCAUAUAUAUAAUGUUCAACCAUUGACCAUGUCCAUAGGCACAACAUUACGUUUAUUAAUUAAUUUAUUUCAAAAAUAAAUAUGCUUAAUUUAAUUGUAUAUAUUAUUUGUAUUCUUUGUACUAGCAAAAAAUACAAUAACAUUCCACUUAGAAAAUUUAUAUUUGGAAUAAUUAUAUUCUCCAAUCUAAUCAUCAAAUAAUAAAAUAAUUCUUUAGUAAGAACUAGAACACUCGUUUGUAUAUGACACUGUAGGUUCAAUAUUAAACUGGUAAUAGAUUAAUCAAAUUAUGAACGUUAUUUUUUUUUAAAUUUUUUUAUGAAAUUUUGGUUUUGAUUAAAAGUAAAAGUAUAAAUGUUUGUUGUUUUUUUAGUGACACAAACAACAAUCUUUAUUAUAGAAAAAGUUGUUUAAAAGUAUAAUUGGAAUAAUGAAAAAGUAAGUAUAAAUAUACUCAUCUAGUUUGCUAUACUAUUUAAAUUAUAAAGGAAAAAAAACAGAUAUACAUAUAUUCAUUUUUUGAAGGAAGAUAUACAUAUAUUCAUAUCUUGUUUGUUACAUUUGUUUUAAUAUUUAAACUUAUUCUUAUCUAUUUGUUAUAUGUGUUAUUUGUAUUGAAAAUUUAGGGUAUUUUUGGAAAGAAAAAUCUAACCCCAAAGUGCUGAAAGGGGUAGUUUUCUUUAUAUAUAGUAUAUAUACAAAAGAUAAAAAUAUUGGGAAAUACUUUCAUAAUUAAAAAAAGGGUUAAUAGUGCUUUUCACCCAUGUAAUAUAGCCCAUUUUCGGUUUUCGCCCCUAUAAAAUUUUCGGUUUGAAUUGCAUCCUUAUAAAUAAAAAAUUCUUCCAGAAAACACCCCUCCCCCAUCCAACUCAUAUUAGUGGUUAGAGUAGGGGUGCAAACCCAUAUUUUGUAUUUUCUCUUUUCUUUUUAUCCUCCAUAGUUUGAAUGUUAGUAGUAGAUAUUGAUGCAUCUACGGUUCAAAUUUUCUGGUUAAAAAUUCAAUUAACAUUUAUCUCAAUUGUAUGUUAUUUUUAUAACUAAUUUUAAAAUUGUUUAAAAUUACUAUUGCUCUUCUGAUAUUUUUCCCUUGUAUGUAUUGAAGACUAAAAAAGAAAUACAAAUAAUAAUGAAGGCUCAUCAAAAAAAUGUUUUCCUUUGUUUGGGUGUCGGCUAACUGCGUAUUUGUUUUUCAGAACUCUGUUUUUUUUUAUCGUCUUUUCUGAUACGUCUUGUGUUAGAAAGGCGUCUCUGAUAGUGUGAAUAUAAAUUCUAUUUUUUAUUCUUAAAAAAAAAUGUAUUACCUUUUAUUGCAAAAGGAUUUGUGUCUGAGAUCAUUAUUAAGUUCAACUGAUCGCUUUUGUGGCAUAAAGGGACAAACACAUUUAAUAAUAAUUUUAGUUUUAUGAUCGGUUUCUUUCUCUUUUUUUUUUUUUUUGCUACAAUUUAUGACCAAUUUCUUGUAGGGAUGACAAUGGGUACCCAUUGGGCAGGGUACCAUAGUGCCCAUCUCCAUACAUGCGUUUUAAGAAAAUCCCCAUACCCGAGCUCAUACCCUUGUGGGCAAUAAGUUUGGUGCCCGUCCCCAUACCUUAUGGAUAUCUAAGUGCCCAUACCCGCACCCAAUACCCGCACUUUCACAACAAAAAGAUAAUCAAUAACAAAAAAAUAUCACAACAUAAUUAAAAUAUGAUAUGAAAUAUGUUAAAUCAACAUAUAAAAUAUUAUGCAUCAUAUUAUUUAGCCAAAUAAAAAGCAUCUAAAAUAUAAAAAAAAUAUAAAAAAAAUAAAAACAAGUGCAUAUUACAAUAAAUAUGAAAGACUUCGGAUUAAUUAACUAAAUUUAAUAUAAAUAAAAUUAUUGGUAUAGUCUAUAUAAUGUGCGGGCAUGGGGCAGGGUGGGUACUAGAGUGCCAGUACCCGUACCCGUACCCUUUCAAAUUUGCGGGCAAUUACCCAUGCCUAGGCCCAUACCCAACUUGUAUAACAUGUGACAUUUUUUGCGGGUGCCUAUAGGGCUUGAGUCCAAUUGUCAUCCUACUUGUAUGACAUGUGACAAGGGAAAACACAAUGCUUUUUACAUUUUUAACUAGUAAAAGAACCGUGCUUUUACACAGGUCAUGUUACACUCCGAUAAUUGUAUAUAAAAUAAUUAGAUUGUUAAUAUUGUAGAAUAUUUAUAAAUAACAAAUGAAAAUUAUGAGUAUUAAUGUAGUGUUUCUAUUAACUAUUUUUUUUAUAUAUUUUACAAAUUUGUUAAAUAGUUGAGUCACACGAGUUAUGGAUUUUAUUAGUUUAUAUAUGAGAAAACAAAUUUUUAUUUAGAUAUAUGAAAAAAUGAUAUGAUAAAAUUUUGAAAACUCAUGACUAUUUUCAAAAUCAAAAUUAAUGUACUGUUUCUUUUAAAUAACUAUUUAUUUUAUAUGCAAAAGACUGUUCAAUGUCUGCACCAUAUCCGUUGCAGAUUUUAUAUACUUAUAUCUGCAUGAACAAAUUUUUAUAUACAUAUAUAAGAAAGUCGAUACGACAAAGUUUUAAAAUCAUAGUUAAUGUAGUGUUUAAAAACUCAAGUCUAUUUUAAAAACUCAAGUCUAUUUCAAAAUCAUUGUUAAUGUAGUGUUUCUAUUAAAUAAAUUUUUAUUUUAUAUGCAAAACACUGUUCAAUGUUUGCACCAUACCCGUUGCAGAUUUUGUGUACUUAUAUUUGCAUAAACAAAAUUAUAUAUAUAUAUAUAUAUAUAUAUGAGAAAGUCGAUAUGAUAAAAUUUUGGAAAUACAUGAUUAUUUUCAAAAUAUCAACAUUAAUGCAUUGUGUCUAUUAAAUAAUUUUUUAUUUUAUAUUUGAAACAUUAUUAAAUAUUUAAACCGCACUCGUUGAGGAUUUUGUAUGCUUAUAUAUGCAAAACAAAAAUUUUAUGUACCGAUAUGUGAUUGUCGAUAUAAUAAAAUAUUAAAAACUCUUGACUAUUUUCAAAAUAUCAAUAUAAAUGUAGUGUUUCUAACAAUUAAAUUUUUAUUCUAUAUGUAAAAAAAACCGUUCAAUUGUUGCACCGCUCCCGUUGCAAAUUUAUUAAUUAUAGCUAAUGAAAUUAAGUAUGAAACUUAAUAUUUUAUAAACCUUUCUUCAAGUAACGUCGUAAAUUUAACUAGGUUAUUUUACCGCAUAUGUUGUCGUGAGGUUAAUAAGGAUUUAUAAAUUCAAUUUUUUAAAUCAUAAGUUUUACUAAGUUAUUUCCAACAAAGACGGAGGAGGAUUCAAGGAUUCGCUAAUCGCCGUUAAACCUUUGAAUCACGAACCUAAUCUAGCAUUGGGCUUUUCUUAAUCUCUUUUAAAUUUCACUCUUUUAAAUAAGUUAUUCUAAUUACUAAGUUGAAGGACAAUCUACGUGGAGACGAAAAAAUUUACCAUUUUAUUACUUGUUAUGAUUUAGUGCAUUUUCCAAUUUCACCGAUCAAGUUUUUGCCGUCGUUGCCGGAGAUUGUUGAUAUUCCAACUGGAAAACCCUAUUUUCUUUAACAUCGAGAACUUGGUCCUCACUGCUCUGAAAGAUAACCAGUACUCAGGUAAGGAAGAUGAGAAUUGUAAUAUUCAUCUAACUGAUUUCUUAGAAGCUUGCAAGACCAUUAAUCUCAAAGGAGUUUCGAAGUCAGACAAACGACUUACGUUGUUUGGGUACUCUCUUAAAGGACGAGCCAAAGAUUAGUUGAAUGCAUUUCCAAGUGGUAGCAUUGUCAUUUGGAACCAACUAAAGAGGGCCUUUCUUAGCCACUUUUUCCCAACCUUAAAGUACAUGGUAAAAAGGUGAGAAAUCUCCUGUUUUCAACAAGAAGACGAUGAGAACCUCUAUGAUGCACGGGAAAGAUAUAAGUUGCUGCUUAAGAGGUACCUUAGGCAUAAUUUCUCUAAAUAGGAGGUAACCCUUAUAUUUACUAACGAUCUUAAGACCUGAACUGUAAUGAUGUUAGAUGCUUCUACAGGUGGUUCUAUGAAGAACAAAACAACCACCAAGAUUCGAGAACUCAUUGACAACAUAUCUUUAAACGAGUAUAGACCUUAAGGUAAUGAUAGGAAUGUUGUGAAAAAGAAAGAUAUUUUGAAUCUUAAAACCCAAGAUGCUUUACUUGCGGGUCACAAAUUUCUUAGCGAUAAAAUUGAAGUUAUAGCUAAAAAGUUGGAAGCAAAAGAGGUGGUGAGGCUGCGAACCAAUGACAUAGGAUGUGCCUAACAAAAAUAUCAUAUGAUGUUUUGUCAUUGCAACCCCAAACUUAAACAGUUGCUUGUCGGUAAGAAACACAAUAACAAGAAGUUAUAAUUUAUCACUAAGAAAGGCCCUCGUACCGGGUGAAAAUGAUGUUACCUCCCUAUUGGAUAAGUUAGAUUGAUAGCUUCAAAACUUUUGAUAUUUGUUUAAAUAUCUUUUAUUGUUAUGGGUAUCACUGCACUUAAAGAGAAUCUAAGUGGAAUAAAAAAACUUCAAUAUACAUAACUAAUAAAUUUCUCCCUUUCAUAAAUGUCAAUGUGUAUAUAUAUAUAUAUAUAUAUAUAUAUAUAUAUAUAUAUAUAUAUAUAACUUGUAAAUUUGUGGCUUUCAACACUUUAUAAGUUAGGCCUAAUUGUAUUUCAAGGUAUGUAAAAUCUUUAUAGCCAAAACUUCACAAGUUCUAUUUUUUAUUUUUUUAGAUUUCCAUUGAUAUUUAUGAAAGGGCAAAAGUUAUUAAUUAUGUGUAUUUAAGUUUUUUGACUCCGCUUAGAUUCUCUUUUGGUCCAAUGUUAACACCUUCCCGUAUAGCCAAGAAUUUUAUGAAAACAAAUAUCAAAUUCUUUUAGCUACAUAAAUAACCCAUAAGUUCCCUAAAAAAAAAAAAAACCCAUAAGUUUGUUAAAUUAAAACAUGAUCUCUACCAAUUAAUUUAACAAAGGAUUUUUUUUUUUUAUUUUUAAUUUGGAACCCUCUUUCUUGUAUUUCUAGUACCUUCAAAUACAACUAGGCCUAACUCAAUUUUACAAAACAUUUUAAAAAUGUUUAUAGCCAAAACUUUACAAGUUCUAUUAUUAUUUUUAUAUUUCCAUUGAUAGUUAUAUGCAUUGAAGUCUUUUAUUCCAAUUAGAUUCUCUUUUGGUCCAAUGAUAACACCUUCCCAUAACCAAGAAGUAUAUGAAAACAAAUAUCAAUUUUUUUAGCUACAUAUCUAACCCAUCAAAAAGGGUGGUAAAAUAAUUUUUACCAUUUUACCUUUGGAAGAAGGGAUUAAUAACAAAUGUACCUAUAGCUACAUACCCCUCUUGGGCUUUAAUUAAUAAGAAAUUUAGAUAAAAUCUUAGAACAAAUUUCUAAGAUGUAUGGGGGAAAGGGAUUACCUUGUCAUAAACACUUUGAGAAUUAAAAGAUGGAAGGGAAACUCAUAGAAUUAAGAACACUAUGUAAAGAAAACAUUUAAAUUCAAUCACGAGUCUAAGACAUAUCAAGUUUAAGACCUACCAUUCCUUUUUUACCUUUCACGUGCUUCAUAACAUGAAAACUUUCAAAAGUUGGGAUGACAAUAUCAAUAAUUAUACAGUUAACAACAAAAGACCUUUGAAAAGAAACAAUAAUAUAAUGAUAAAAUACCUUUGAGUGUAUCUCUAUAGUUUUGUACACAAAUUUAUAUAAGACGUUGCAAAGGAAAAUUGGUGUGAAAUCACCUUUGAUUUUAGGGAUGAGUCUAACCGCACAUUACCAUUAAUUUUUUUGCUAAGCCAGAAUAUUGGAUAGGCAUCAAGGGGAAGCAACGACAUCCCAACUAGGUUGGCACCCUGCAUAACCCCAAUCCUAUUCCGCCGAUCUCAGAAAAUUUUAUUAAAAAAAGGGGAAAAAAGUACAACAGGGCACUACAAAAAAUCAGGUGAAUUGUGGCGGCUAAAAACCCUCAAAAAAACAAAGAAGAAACAACAAAAAAAGAAAAGCAAGUUGUGCCAACGAUCAAAGCACUCGUCGAGUCAUUCCAAUAAAGAAAAUUCAUUGAUCAUCUGAAGUGGAUCCUCCCUGAGAGUGGGUUUUAUAAGGCGGUGGCUUACCAAUCUGAAGAUUUUUUUCUAACAUGUUGUUUCUGUUUCCGAGAUAAGACCGAAGUGAAAGGUCUAUCCGCAUUAACUUUGUCAUGUUCAUGCUGCACAUUCGGAUUGCUAUGUGGUUCAUAAACAGUCAAAAUUUUGUCACCAUUCGGAUGCAUACUUGCGCAUUGUAUUUCUCUGAUUAUGCAUAUCAAAAUCCACUGACCAUUCAAAUAAACGUAACACCGCCGGCUUCAAGUUCACAGUUCCCAUUGCCCAAACAAUUUGCAAAUCAGAUUCAGUGACAAAAAAGAAUUCAUAAAAGCCCUUACCUAAAGAUAGCAACCUCCAAGGUGCAGCAGUCUUCCAUUGUUUCCGAAGCUUGUCUUCAAUUUCCUUCGAAGCAUAGGGUUUAUCUCCUUUGUUGAGAACCAACCUUCCACGAAGGUUUCUCUUACACACAUUGACCCCCUAUUCAUAAAUUGGCUGAGUAAUACGAAUAGAGAGAGAGAGAGAGUCUCACCACGGAUUGUAGGUUGUGGUAUAUUGUCGUUGGUAGCUUUGCCAUGCGAUGCAACAAGUGCUUGUGCAAAGGACCGCGGUGGUGGUUGUGGUGCUGGAACCGCCGUUGUGGACGGCAGUGCCAUGGGAGAUGGUGCAGCUUUGGAGGAUGCAGCUGCCGGCAAUAACAACUCUGCCUGCUAGUCGAACGGCAUAGCAGAAAGUCUGUCCGUAAGUGAUCAAUCAAAUCACGUAACUUCAAUCAACAGAAUUGGAUGGCAAAGUUGCUUAUGUGAAUAUUCCAAAUUGAUUUUUCGACACAAAUCAACAAAGCAAAAAGCACCGAAAGAACUAGCACCUAAUGAUGAAUUUGUUGAAGUCUGCCACCGAUUGCUUAAUUUGUAUGGAAAAUUGCUUAAAAUGUAUAUUCCAAAUCAUUCCCACCGAUUGGAAAUUGAUGAAUUCUAAAGGAGGCUCAUGGUGCUAGAAACCCUAGCAUACCUGACGGCUCCAUUCUUUCUUAAUUUGUUUUUAUUUCAUUUUUUAUGCCGAGUCCACGAGUUUUUUUUUUUUUUUGCUAUCAAAAUUUCUUUUUGAAAAUGCAUAUGUAAUUUUUUUUCUUUGAACAUGAUUCAUCUUUGGUGGCUGCUGCUUCGAAAAAUAGCACCCUCAUCCCUUGGAUGAUAAAAACAAGAUGGUUAAACUACAUGAAACUAGGAAUUUAACCAUCUAGGUUCUAUAAUCACUUUAGUGAUACUUAGGGACAGAGACACAUUUUUUAGGGAAAUAAUAAUUUUAAUUUUAUGAAGAGGUUUCUUGUAACGAGUUAUACUUUUUUUUCUUUUUAUUGAACAAAUCACAAUAUGAUUUUUUCUACAUUAUAAAUAUCUCAAGCAAGCUUUUUGAUUCCAUUACAUUCAAAGGAGGCAAAAUAUGGAUGAAAGUUUGAAGUUUGUUUACACUAUGAUCCUUUUUCUUUCAUUAUUUUUUGUUGCAAUGAACGUUAGUAAGUCCCUUUUCUUAUCCUUUUCAAACUCUCUUAUUUACCUUACACAUAAUAUUUCAUCAUCUUUUAGUAACAUUCCAUUAUAUUUGUUUCACAUUACAGAAUCUCUUGAUUGUCAUUCUGACCAUGAAUGCUAUAAUCAACUUAGUUGUAUCAUCGAGGAGAUAUGUUUGGAUGGUUCGUGUCAUUGCCCUCCAAUAUUGUAGGACAACAAUUGGGUGCCUUUGCUAGGUUUUAGUUUAGUCUCCUCAAGAUGUUUGUCCUCUAUUGUAAUUUUUAAUUCUAUUUUACUUUGAGGUGUUGCUUUAGGGGUUAGGGUAGGGGUGCAAACCCAUAUUUUGCAUGGAAAAUGUUACAUGAACACCCUUUAUUCCUACACCUCUAACCCACACCCAAACCCGUCCCAAAUGUAAAAAACUACUUUAUGUUGAUAUGUUAUGUUAUUUUGUUUGAUAAUUGUCAUGUUAAUAAAAACUACCAUUGAUAUUUAAAUGAUCAACUAAAUAAUUUUGUCUAACAAAUGUGAAAGUGAACUUAUUGUUGGAUAAUGUAUUACAACGUUGCUCUUGGGGAUGCAAAAAAACUUAUAUUUUUUAUUAAAAAAAUUAUUCAAUGCGGGGACGGGGAUGGGGCGGGGAUACCCGAACCCGUUGGGGACGUGGAUGUGAUUCAAUUUCUCAUCCCCGUUGGGUAUGGGUAGGGUAACAGGUAAGUAUAUAAGAAUCGGGUAUGGGGACAGGGAAGAUAAAACACGUCCCCACCCCGCCCCAUUGCCAUGCCUACAUCUAUGGUUCAAAUUUUCUCGUUAAAAAAUCAAGGGUUAAUACCCCUUUUGGUCCCUGUAAUAUGAGAAAUUUUCAAUUUUAGUCCCUGUAAAUAAGAAAAUUUAGAUUCUGUCCCUAUCAUUUCAUAUUUUUCCACUUUUGGUCCCUCGCUCAAACUAGUCAGCAGAAUAUGCUGACGUGUCCUACUGAUUGUGUAAUUAUUUUCUUUUUUUUUUUAAUUGGUUUCAGAUGCCACUUGUAUAUUUAAUUUAUAAACCAUUUAUUUAAAUGUUAAAAUUUUUAAAAUCAAAUCAUCCAAUUAAAAUCAUUCAUCAAUGUUUUCCAUCUUCUCCUUCCCAUCGUGACUCUUCUUCUUCAUACUCCUCAAGAUUCUUCUUCUUCCAUUCAAACCCAAACUCAUGAAUCUUCAUCAUCUUCAACUCAAACUCAUAAAAACUUAUAACCAGUAAUCUCAUCACCCAUUUUCUCCCUCAUUUUCUUCAAUGCUCUUUCAACCUUUCUCUUUCCCACACAAACCUUCAUCUCCAAAACAAAACCCAUAACCCAAAAAAAACUAAACUUUAAAUAAAAAAUGGAAAAGUGUGAGUCAAGGAUGAUGGGUUUUCCAGAUCUGGAAUUGGGAGAUAGAAAAUCGAAUUCCAACACCCAUCCAUUUUCAAAUCUGCAAUUAACCCUGGAGUUGGGAGAGAAAAAAAUGAAUUCGAAAUUACCAUGUUUUGAGAAUGAAUUUCAGGGUUUGUUGAUGGAUUUUUGGAUGAAGAAGUUGAACACUUGUUAACCAAAAAAAUUGAAAUUUAUGAAAGGGUAAAAGAAGAACCUGAAUUUAUGGAUGAAGAACCCGAAUUUAUGCCACUUGGGUUUAUGAUGAAGAGGAAGAAGAAGAACCUGUUUUUUUUUUUUUUUAAGAGAAGAAGAAGAAUCGUUCUUGUUGCUGCAUAUUCUUGUUUUUGUUGUUUUUUAUUUAUUUUUUUUUUUUUACGAAAAUAUAUUUUGUGGUUUUUUAAUUGUAAUUUUAAUAUGUUUUUUAUUUAAUUUUUAAAUAAAAUAAACAACUGAAUCCAAGUGGCAUUUGAAUCCAAUUAAAAAAAUGAAAAAAAAUAAGAUAAUUACACAAUCAGUUGGAUACAUCAGCAAAUUUUGCUGACAAGUUUAAGUGAGGGAUCAAAAGCGGAAGAAUCUCAAAUGAUAGGGAUAGAAUCUAAACGUUUUUUUUACAGGGACAAAAACCGGAUUUCGCUCAUAUUACAGAGACCAAAAUAUGUAUUAAUCCAAAAAUCAAUUAACAUUUGUCUCAAUUGUAUGUUAUUUCUAUAACUAAUUUUAAAAUCGUUUAAAAUUAUCGCUCUUUUGAUAUUUUCCCCUUGUAUGUAUUGAUGAAGACUAAAAAAGAAAUACAAAUAAUAAUGGAGGCUCAUAAGAAAAAUGUAUUACUUAUCCCCGUGAGCAUAGUUCAGUUGAUAGGGACAUGCAUUGUUAUAUGUAGGGGUCGGAAUUCGAACCCCGGACACCUCACUUAUUCACCUUAAAAAAUGUGAAUUAUAGUUACUAGGAUUCAAACCCAACUUUUAUUGCAAAAUGAUUUGUGAGAGAGGUCAUUAUUAAGUUCAACUUAUCACUUUAGUGGCAUAAAGGGACAAACACAUUUAAUAAUAAUUUUAGUUUUAUGACCGGUUUCUUGUAGCAUGUGAAAUGUGGGCGCGGUUUUGCAUAAGGAAAUCCUUAUGCACCCUGCAUAAAUCCAGAAAUGAUUUUUGUGAGUUGUAUUUCAAAAUCAUUAGAUGUACUUAAUAGUUUACAGCACCCUGCAUAAAAUUAUAUCAAAACCAUUUUGCUGUGGAAAUGGUUUCUGAAUUGUACUCCAAAACCAUUUCUGGAUUUAUGCAGAGUGCAUAAGGAUUUUCUCAACAAAAAAAACCAUGCUUUUUACAUUGUUAAUGUCUCAAACAAACUUUUUAAUUCUCUUACAUUCAAUUGAGGCAAAAUAUGAUGUAACAACUAACAAGUGAUACUUUUUUUUUAGACAAUGUUUAAUUCCCUACCAUUUAGCCGAGUUUUGUUUUUACGCCAUUAAAAUAAAUGUUUUAGAUUUUCCCUUGUUGUUUUAAAAUUCUUUUAUUUUAAACCUUGAGCUCAUUUGACUCGGUAAGUAAGAUGAUGUUACAAUCAAUCUUUCUCUUCACCUUCAUUCAUCUUUGUCUACACAUUCAUAACUUUAUCAUCAAAUUCACAGAACCUAGAAAAAUCAAAAUCAAAACCUACAAAUAUAUGCGAGUUAUGAAUGUGAGGAGAAAGAUGAAGGUUAGGAAGAUGAAGGGGAAUGAAUUUUAAUGGGAUUGAUGAUGAAUUUGGUGAUGAAUGUGAUGAAGUGGAAGAGAAAUAAUUUUUAUAAAAUAUUUAUUUAUUAUGUUUAACUGUAACACCCCGUUACCCAAAAGUAAUAAAAUAGCAUAUAAACAUCAGAGUAUUUCACCAAACGGGCAUGCUACAUCGCAACUUCAAAAUUCUUAAAUAGAAAAUAAAACUAUUUAAUUCAACAACAGUCAUAACUUCAAUUAAUGCAGCGGAAAGUUUUGCAUUUUCAAUAGCAACAACAAUGUUUUAAUCUCCAACAACAUCUUGGCAUUAAGCCUAAACAACAAAAGUUAGCCAAUGAAAGGGCACAUCAACAAGUUCCAAAAUUUGAUACAUGGAAGGGAAACAACAAUGAAAUAAUAAAAUGACUCCCAACCCACGUAUCAGAGCCCUAGACACGACUCUUGAGCCACCACCGACUACUCAGGAUCACCUGCAAGUUACCCAUAGGAAGGGCAACAUUUUCAAGCAGAAGGGGUGAGAUUCACAACAAUAAAUAUAGAUAUUAAAAUCAUCAAAUGAAUCUAACACCCUAUAACUUCAAACAUGUUCACUUGCAAAUAUUAUAAUUAUUCACAACCACAACAACAUCAUCAUAAUCAUCCACUUAACAAGUAGUAUACAAUGUAUAUAAUAUCAUCAACAUCAACAAUACAUCAAGACCACAAUGAAUACACAUAUAUAGGAAUGUAUAUCAAACAUCAACAUCAACAAUACAUCAAGACUCAUGCAAAUGACAUGACCACUGCUAAGACACCAUCUUAGACUUCUUAAUGAGAUGCAAUUAUGCAUGUGGUACCAAUCAGGACCGAGGCCCUCACCGCUUUUGAAUGGUUAAAGCAUUCAUCAGGACCGAAACCCUCACCGCUGUUGAGCAACUAGUACUCCAGGACCGAAGCCCUCACCGCUGUUUUAUGCAUAUGCAAUGGACCUACUUGUGUAUAUCUACAUACAACUGACCAUGCAAUGCAACUCCAUGUGACUCCAAUUAAAUACAACAUGUAUGAUUCAAUACUUUGCAUACAUUUCAUUCAUCAUCAGUACUCAUCAAUUCAGCAAUCAAAUCAAUCACAAUAAUGUAUAAUUAUACGCAACCAUACUCAAAUACAACAACACCAACCACUACUAAUCAAGCUAGCAAAACUACACUCUGGAACUGGGCAGCUCGCCUCGCGAGCACAUCUGCUCGCCGUGGCGAGUUCACGGAAAACACUAGCUCGCCAUGGCGAGUUCAAGGCGAACUCGAGGCGAGUGAAAAUCAGGUGCUCUCGGGAAAAAGUGACAUUUUCUCACUCAAACUCCAAUUCUAAGCUCCCUAUUCAUCUUUUUAACCUAAAACUUCCACCAUUCAUCUUUAUUAUCAUCUAGGUACCUUAAACCAUCCCCAAAAUAUCUUAUACAACUUUUCAAAAAUCAAGUUUUAUCUGGGCUUACUCGCCAUGGCGAGUUGGACUGCUCGCGAGGCGAGUAGUGAUGUUGUUCACUCGCGAGGCGAGACAUGAAUGCUCGCGAGGCGAGCGAUGAACAUCAGUACGGGCAGAAAACUGGUUUUUCCCCAAAAUCCCAUUUUUCUUCCAAUCACUCCCCAAAUCAGUUUACAGAUGCAAAUUAACUUUCUGUGUGCAACUAGAACCUAUUUCUAACAUCAAAUUCAUGCUUACAACUUCAAAAACUAUAAUUUCAUCAUAAAACCCAAAAUCCCCAAUUUCUACCAAAACCUGUUAAACUCAAAAUCAGACUUUAAAUUCUACAUUAAUGAAGUAAACCCCACCCUUACCUUAGUUCAGAAUGACAAAUGCACAGCAACAGGGGUUCCUCUAGUUCUUCUCUCUUGCUCCUGGUUUUCUCUUCCUUGGUUUGUUUUCACGUAAAAUGAUUCUGACUCCCACUUUCUAUUUUCUUAACUUCCCACUUAAGAGUAACUCCCCCUAAAUACACUUAACUCCCCCAAAUCCUAAUAAUUCCAAUUAAUUCCCCAAACUCCAAAAUAACUAAUAUUUCAUACUUAUUUUAAUUAUUAAUAAAUAAACCAUAUACUAAAAUAAUACACCACAUAAAACAUCCAAAAAUCACAUAUACACGAAUAUAUGCAUAUACUCCACAUAAAUCACCAAACAUCAUAUAUAAUAAUAUAUAUAUAUAUACUCCACAUAAUAAAAUUAAUUAAAUAAAUAACUAGGGCGUUACAACUCUCCCCAAAUUACAGAAUUUCGUCCUCGAAAUCUUACCUCAAGCAAACAACUCCGGAUACGACUCCCGCAUCUUACUCUCCAGCUCCCAAGUCAAACUUUCACCAGUCGCUCCACCCCAAACGACUCUCACAAGAGGUAUUUCUUUACCUCUCAAGGACUUCACCUUCUUGUCAUCAAUCCUCAACGGCAUAGUCUCAACAGUCAAGUUGUCCCUAACCUGCACAUCAUCAUCCCUCGGAAUCACAUGAGAAGGAUCCGCAACAUAUUUCCGAAGCUGAGAAACAUGAAACACGUCGUGCAAGUUCGAAAGAUGUGGUGGCAAACCAACUCUAUAUGCCACUGUACCAAUUCUCUCUGAAAUCUGAUACGGUCCAAUAAACUUAGGAGUCAACUUCCUCGACUUCAAGGCACGUCCAACACCCGUCAACGGAGUGACCCUCAGAAAAACAUGAUCACCCUCCUGAAACUCAAGAUCCUUUCUUCGCUUGUCAUGGUAACUCUUCUGGUUUAGGCAAAAUCAAAACAGGAGCAGUUGUCAAUCUUCGCUUCAACUCAUUGAAACUACUCUCACACUGAGCAUCCCACACAAAAGGUUUACCCUUACAGGUCAACUGCGUCAACGGAAGAGCCAACUUCGAAAACCCUUUUAUGAACCUGCGGUAAUAACCAGCCAAACCCAGAAAACUUCUAAUCUCAGUUACUGACUUCGGAGUCUCCCAUUGUGAUACCGCAUCAACCUUUGAAGGAUCCACCGCAAUACCACUACCAAGAAAUAAUGUGACCCAAGAAAACUUACUUCACGUAACCAGAAUUCACAUUGUGAUAACUUAGCAUACAACCUCUUUUCCUUCAACACUUGCAACACUAUUCUCAGAUGCUCUGCAUGCUCCUCCUCAUUCUUGGAAUAGAUUAGAAUAUCAUCAAUAAAUACCACCACAAACUUAUCCAGAAAAGCAUGGAAAAUUCGGUUCAUGUACUCCAUAAAAACACCAGGCGCAUUAGUAACACCGAAAGGCAUCACUUUGUACUCGUAAUGACCAUAACGUGUCCUAAAGGCCGUCUUCUGCAUAUCCUCAUCCUUCACUUUUAUCUGAUGAUAACCAGCCCUCAAAUCAAUCUUACUGAAAAUCUUGGCACCAACCAACUGAUCCAUCAAGUCGUCAAUUCUAGGAAGCGGAUACCUGUUCUUGAUCGUAACUUUGUUCAACUGACGGUAAUCUAUACAAAGUCUCAUACUACCAUCCUUCUUCUUUACCAACAACACCGGUGCUCCCCAAGGUGAAACACUGGGUCUUACAAAUUUCUUAUCUAACAGGUCCUCCAAUUGUUUCUUCAACUCAGCCAACUCAGAAGCUGACAUACGGUACGGUGCCAUCGACACCGGCUUAGUUCCUGGAACAAGAUCAAUUGAGAAUUCAACCUCCCUCUCUGGUGGCACAUCAGGAAUUUCAUCAGGGAAAACUUCUGGAAACUCAUUCACUACAGGUAAACCAUCAACCACAGCUUGAUUUUCUAACGACAAUUGUGCCAUUAGAGAAUACAUCAGGAUACCAUCACGUUCAAACUGUUUCAUCUGUUUCGUAGACAGAAGCUCAACCUCACCUUCUUCUUCAGCAGAAGAGAAAUGUACCGUCUUACUAAAGCAGUUGAUAUGAACUCGAUUAUACUCUAACCAAUUCAUACCAAAGAUAACAUCCAUACCCGUCAACGGCAGACAAACCAAGUCAAUCACAAAAUCUCUACCAAACAUAGAUAUAGGACACCGCAGACAAACAAGAGAAGUGGUUACUGAACCCUUAGCUGGAGUUUCAACAACCAUUUCUCCUUUCAUAUCAGAUAUAUCCAAACCCAACUUAUAAGCACAUUCAAUAGCAAUAAAACAGUGAGUAGCACCAGUAUCAAUAAUAGCAAUUAAAGGAGUACUAUUAAAGAAACAAGUACCUCUGAUAAGUCGGUCCUCAUUAGGAGUCUGUGUACCAGUCAGAGCAAACACCUUUCCACCAAUUCUAGUCUUCUUCGGCUCAGGACACUGUGAACUGAUAUGACCUUCCCCAUUGCAGUUGUAACAGACAAUGUCCCCACGCUUGCAUUCAGCUAAACUGUGACCCUUCUGACCACACCUGAAGCACUUCCUAUCAUCUCUUCCACAAACAUUACUCUUGUGGCCUUUCUCACCACACUUGUAACAAACAAUCUCAACUGGAGCAUCUCUCCUCUUGGGCCUCCUAUCAUCACCCAUCCUCUGCUUUCCCUUGUCCGCAGGAGCACUGUAAGGCUUAGGACGAUUCUGUUGUCCCUUACCCCUCCUCUCACUCAUAAUCUUGUAAUGAGCUUUGGUGUCUUCUUCAUAAAUCCUACACCUGUUAACCAACUCAGAAAAGACUCUGAUCUGUUGAUAUCCAAUGGCUCUUUUGAUGUCAGCCCUCAGCCCAUUCUCAAACUUAAUACACUUGGAGAACUCAGCCGUCUCCGCACUAUAAUGAGGAUAGAAUGUGGCAAGCUCCACAAACUUUGCAGCAUACUCUGUGACAGACAUGUCACCCUGUUUCAAUUCCAGAAACUCAAUCUCUUUCUUACCUCUGACAUCCUCUGGAAAAUACCUGCCCAGAAACUCCUUCCUGAACAUGGCCCAGGUAACCACAGCAUCAUCCUGUUCCAACACAGGCAACAAGCUAAUCCACCAAUCAUCAGCCUCUUCAGCUAGCAUGUGCGUCCCAAACCGCACUUUCUGAACCUCGGAACACUGCAUGACCCUGAAAAUUCUUUCAAUCUCCUUCAGCCACUUCUGAGCACCGUCAGGAUCAUACCUACCCUUGAAAGUUGGUGGAUAAUCCCUCAGGAAAGUCUCAAGCAUCCUGGUUCCAUCACCACCAGUGUCAACCUUAGGUUGCUGUUGAACAACUUGAGCUACAGCCUCAAGCGCAACAACUAAAGCAGCAUCACUACUCCCAGUCAUCUCGAGAUUCUACAUGACAAACAACAACUCAGAACAACAACAAAAGCAACAAUAAAGUUGACACUCUAUCCUAGGUGGCUCAACAAGACUCUACUACUUGGCCGGACGGACCAACCUGCUCUGAUACCAAAUUGUAACACCCCGUUACCCAAAAGUAAUAAAAUAGCAUAUAAACAUCAGAGUAUUUCACCAAACGGGCAUGCUACAUCGCAACUUCAAAAUUCUUAAAUAGAAAAUAAAACUAUUUAAUUCAACAACAGUCAUAACUUCAAUUAAUGCAGCGGAAAGUUUUGCAUUUUCAAUAGCAACAACAAUGUUUUAAUCUCCAACAACAUCUUGGCAUUAAGCCUAAACAACAAAAGUUAGCCAAUGAAAGGGCACAUCAACAAGUUCCAAAAUUUGAUACAUGGAAGGGAAACAACAAUGAAAUAAUAAAAUGACUCCCAACCCACGUAUCAGAGCCCUAGACACGACUCUUGAGCCACCACCGACUACUCAGGAUCACCUGCAAGUUACCCAUAGGAAGGGCAACAUUUUCAAGCAGAAGGGGUGAGAUUCACAACAAUAAAUAUAGAUAUUAAAAUCAUCAAAUGAAUCUAACACCCUAUAACUUCAAACAUGUUCACUUGCAAAUAUUAUAAUUAUUCACAACCACAACAACAUCAUCAUAAUCAUCCACUUAACAAGUAGUAUACAAUGUAUAUAAUAUCAUCAACAUCAACAAUACAUCAAGACCACAAUGAAUACACAUAUAUAGGAAUGUAUAUCAAACAUCAACAUCAACAAUACAUCAAGACUCAUGCAAAUGACAUGACCACUGCUAAGACACCAUCUUAGACUUCUUAAUGAGAUGCAAUUAUGCAUGUGGUACCAAUCAGGACCGAGGCCCUCACCGCUUUUGAAUGGUUAAAGCAUUCAUCAGGACCGAAACCCUCACCGCUGUUGAGCAACUAGUACUCCAGGACCGAAGCCCUCACCGCUGUUUUAUGCAUAUGCAAUGGACCUACUUGUGUAUAUCUACAUACAACUGACCAUGCAAUGCAACUCCAUGUGACUCCAAUUAAAUACAACAUGUAUGAUUCAAUACUUUGCAUACAUUUCAUUCAUCAUCAGUACUCAUCAAUUCAGCAAUCAAAUCAAUCACAAUAAUGUAUAAUUAUACGCAACCAUACUCAAAUACAACAACACCAACCACUACUAAUUAAGCUAGCAAAACUACACUCUGGAACUGGGCAGCUCGCCUCGCGAGCACAUCUGCUCGCCGUGGCGAGUUCACGGAAAACACUAGCUCGCCAUGGCGAGUUCAAGGCGAACUCGAGGCGAGUGAAAAUCAGGUGCUCUCGGGAAAAAGUGACAUUUUCUCACUCAAACUCCAAUUCUAAGCUCCCUAUUCAUCUUUUUAACCUAAAACUUCCACCAUUCAUCUUUAUUAUCAUCUAGGUACCUUAAACCAUCCCCAAAAUAUCUUAUACAACUUUUCAAAAAUCAAGUUUUAUCUGGGCUUACUCGCCAUGGCGAGUUGGACUGCUCGCGAGGCGAGUAGUGAUGUUGUUCACUCGCGAGGCGAGACAUGAAUGCUCGCGAGGCGAGCGAUGAACAUCAGUACGGGCAGAAAACUGGUUUUUCCCCAAAAUCCCAUUUUUCUUCCAAUCACUCCCCAAAUCAGUUUACAGAUGCAAAUUAACUUUCUGUGUGCAACUAGAACCUAUUUCUAACAUCAAAUUCAUGCUUACAACUUCAAAAACUAUAAUUUCAUCAUAAAACCCAAAAUCCCCAAUUUCUACCAAAACCUGUUAAACUCAAAAUCAGACUUUAAAUUCUACAUUAAUGAAGUAAACCCCACCCUUACCUUAGUUCAGAAUGACAAAUGCACAGCAACAGGGGUUCCUCUAGUUCUUCUCUCUUGCUCCUGGUUUUCUCUUCCUUGGUUUGUUUUCACGUAAAAUGAUUCUGACUCCCACUUUCUAUUUUCUUAACUUCCCACUUAAGAGUAACUCCCCCUAAAUACACUUAACUCCCCCAAAUCCUAAUAAUUCCAAUUAAUUCCCCAAACUCCAAAAUAACUAAUAUUUCAUACUUAUUUUAAUUAUUAAUAAAUAAACCAUAUACUAAAAUAAUACACCACAUAAAACAUCCAAAAAUCACAUAUACACGAAUAUAUGCAUAUACUCCACAUAAAUCACCAAACAUCAUAUAUAAUAAUAUAUAUAUAUAUACUCCACAUAAUAAAAUUAAUUAAAUAAAUAACUAGGGCGUUACAACUCUCCCCAAAUUACAGAAUUUCGUCCUCGAAAUCUUACCUCAAGCAAACAACUCCGGAUACGACUCCCGCAUCUUACUCUCCAGCUCCCAAGUCAAACUUUCACCAGUCGCUCCACCCCAAACGACUCUCACAAGAGGUAUUUCUUUACCUCUCAAGGACUUCACCUUCUUGUCAUCAAUCCUCAACGGCAUAGUCUCAACAGUCAAGUUGUCCCUAACCUGCACAUCAUCAUCCCUCGGAAUCACAUGAGAAGGAUCCGCAACAUAUUUCCGAAGCUGAGAAACAUGAAACACGUCGUGCAAGUUCGAAAGAUGUGGUGGCAAACCAACUCUAUAUGCCACUGUACCAAUUCUCUCUGAAAUCUGAUACGGUCCAAUAAACUUAGGAGUCAACUUCCUCGACUUCAAGGCACGUCCAACACCCGUCAACGGAGUGACCCUCAGAAAAACAUGAUCACCCUCCUGAAACUCAAGAUCCUUUCUUCGCUUGUCAUGGUAACUCUUCUGGUUUAGGCAAAAUCAAAACAGGAGCAGUUGUCAAUCUUCGCUUCAACUCAUUGAAACUACUCUCACACUGAGCAUCCCACACAAAAGGUUUACCCUUACAGGUCAACUGCGUCAACGGAAGAGCCAACUUCGAAAACCCUUUUAUGAACCUGCGGUAAUAACCAGCCAAACCCAGAAAACUUCUAAUCUCAGUUACUGACUUCGGAGUCUCCCAUUGUGAUACCGCAUCAACCUUUGAAGGAUCCACCGCAAUACCACUACCAGAAAUAAUGUGACCCAAGAAAACUUACUUCACGUAACCAGAAUUCACAUUGUGAUAACUUAGCAUACAACCUCUUUUCCUUCAACACUUGCAACACUAUUCUCAGAUGCUCUGCAUGCUCCUCCUCAUUCUUGGAAUAGAUUAGAAUAUCAUCAAUAAAUACCACCACAAACUUAUCCAGAAAAGCAUGGAAAAUUCGGUUCAUGUACUCCAUAAAAACACCAGGCGCAUUAGUAACACCGAAAGGCAUCACUUUGUACUCGUAAUGACCAUAACGUGUCCUAAAGGCCGUCUUCUGCAUAUCCUCAUCCUUCACUUUUAUCUGAUGAUAACCAGCCCUCAAAUCAAUCUUACUGAAAAUCUUGGCACCAACCAACUGAUCCAUCAAGUCGUCAAUUCUAGGAAGCGGAUACCUGUUCUUGAUCGUAACUUUGUUCAACUGACGGUAAUCUAUACAAAGUCUCAUACUACCAUCCUUCUUCUUUACCAACAACACCGGUGCUCCCCAAGGUGAAACACUGGGUCUUACAAAUUUCUUAUCUAACAGGUCCUCCAAUUGUUUCUUCAACUCAGCCAACUCAGAAGCUGACAUACGGUACGGUGCCAUCGACACCGGCUUAGUUCCUGGAACAAGAUCAAUUGAGAAUUCAACCUCCCUCUCUGGUGGCACAUCAGGAAUUUCAUCAGGGAAAACUUCUGGAAACUCAUUCACUACAGGUAAACCAUCAACCACAGCUUGAUUUUCUAACGACAAUUGUGCCAUUAGAGAAUACAUCAGGAUACCAUCACGUUCAAACUGUUUCAUCUGUUUCGUAGACAGAAGCUCAACCUCACCUUCUUCUUCAGCAGAAGAGAAAUGUACCGUCUUACUAAAGCAGUUGAUAUGAACUCGAUUAUACUCUAACCAAUUCAUACCAAAGAUAACAUCCAUACCCGUCAACGGCAGACAAACCAAGUCAAUCACAAAAUCUCUACCAAACAUAGAUAUAGGACACCGCAGACAAACAAGAGAAGUGGUUACUGAACCCUUAGCUGGAGUAUCAACAACCAUUUCUCCUUUCAUAUCAGAUAUAUCCAAACCCAACUUAUAAGCACAUUCAAUAGCAAUAAAACAGUGAGUAGCACCAGUAUCAAUAAUAGCAAUUAAAGGAGUACUAUUAAAGAAACAAGUACCUCUGAUAAGUCGGUCCUCAUUAGGAGUCUGUGUACCAGUCAGAGCAAACACCUUUCCACCAAUUCUAGUCUUCUUCGGCUCAGGACACUGUGAACUGAUAUGACCUUCCCCAUAUCACUUGUUAAAAGAAACCAUUUGUAAAACAAAAAAUAUUAUUAUAUAUUCUUGUCCUUUUGUCUCACUGAAGUGGUCAGUUGAAAUUAUCACGUACAAAUCUGGUUCGUAAUAAGAGGUAAUCCAUUUUUUUUUAUAAACCUUUCAUUAUUAUUUGUAUUUCUUUAUUAGCCUUAAUGAAAAACAAGAGAAAAAUACCAAUAGAGGCGUCUUUGGAAUUUUAUGAAACUUGGCUGAUCAUUUCUAUGUAUUUUUAUAUAGGUAUCACCAAAAAAAACCCGCUAAAAUUAUGAUUUUAAAGUUAAGGUUUUCGUUGUUUUGGUUUUUGACGCUUUAGAAAUUGAUAAUCAAUUUGUUCUUUGUCGGAAAAUUCUAAUUUUAGGUAGGAGGCCUUAUAUUAAUGUCGUAUACAUACCUACCUGUAAAAAAGCAUUAAAAAAAUACGACAUCUAUGUCCCUUUCGUAUUAGCGCCUCAUGUGCGAUUGGGCUAUUGGAGGAUUAAGAUGAAAAUAAUCUUGAAAUACAAAGUGGAAUCUGUGUUUUUAUUGAGGCGUAUCUCCAGACUUUGUGUAUAUUAUAGGAGCUAUUUCAACAAUUAACCCUAAAAAUAAAAUAGAAAAUACAAAACAUGGGGGCAUAAACUAAACUUAUGAUAGUAAAAAAAAUUAGAAAGGAGAUUCCUACCUCUAUAAAUAUUCUCAAAAAUAAAUGGCGGGAUUAGAUUACAUUAGACAAAUUCUAGGUUUGAAAUGCCAAAAUUAUCCUACAGAUCUGCAUAAGUAUUUUCUACCCUAAAAAUAUGAAAAUAUAAUAAUCACAUUUUAGCAGUGAGCUUUAUGCAGUUUAAGCAUAAUUUCUUAACAUCCAAGGGAUGAGUAUGUUGUAUUUGAAAGCAGCAACUACCAAAGGCGAAACACAUUUUUACAAAAUAUUAUGUCUGAUUCUUUGAAGAAAAAAAAAUUAUCACCUAUGAUCCCCCACAUAAAAUGCAUUAUGUCUUAUAUAUAUAUAUAUAUAUGGCUUAAAUGCAAUUUUACCCCCCCUAUUUUGAUUGAAUCUGAAUUUUACCCCCCCCUAUUUUAAAAUUCGGAAUUUUACCCCCUCUAUUUUGAUUGAAUCGGGAUUUUGCCCCCCUUAUUUUAAAACUCGGAAUUUUACCCCCUCUAUUUUACGUUUUUCAGAAUUUUACCCCCUAUUUUAAAAUAAAGAACCAAAAAAUACUAGAAAAAUAAAGAAACGAUUAGAAAAUAUUAAUUUGGUAAAAAAAUAUAAGGAAAACAAGAAAACACAAAAAAAAAAAAAAAGUAAAAAAUAGAAAAACAAUGAAAUUACAAGAAAAAAAUCAAUUAAGAAGAAUACAUGAAAAAACUAGUUUGCACCUCUAAAUAUUUGUUAUUUUCAUGUAUUUUCAUACUAGUUUUUUAUUUUAUUUUUAGAGAUCAUACUAGUUUUAUGCAUUUUUUCUAGUAUUUUUUAUUCAUUUUUUUUAGUAUUUUUUUGGUUUUAUUUUUAUUCUUUCAUUAAAAAACAUUUAAUACAAAUAAUUAAUUAUGUGGAUAAAAUAGGGGGAGGGAGGCAAAAUCCUGAAAAACAUAAAAUAGGGGGGGUAAAAUUCCGAGUUUUAAAAUAGAGGGGGUAAAAUUCCGAGUUUUAAAAUAGGGGGGGCAAAAUUCAGAUUCAAUCAAAAUAGAGGGGGUAAAAUUGCAUUUAAGCCUAACAAAAAAUACACUGAUAUAUGAAACAAUAUAAGGCAAGGCUAUGGGGAAGGGAAAGACAUGCAAUGAUUGACAACUAGAGUUUUUCUCUUCCAUUUUUUAUGUGUUCUCCAUUUUCUAUUUUAUCUCUUUGUUCAUAAGUAAAGUACACUCAUUUCAACGACUAGAAGAUUCAUAAGGAUUUAGAGCACAUAUGUUGCUAUCUAAAAUCAUAGUAACUUUUUUGAUCAACUCAUUCACAAAUUCAUCAAGAGAUGCAAAUUUUUAGGGAAUGAUAAGAAUUAAAGGAAUAAGUUCCAAAUUGAAUUAAAGGAAUUCAAUGUGAUGAAAACUGCUUUUCUCACGUUCAACUUUUCUUAAAAACACAUGAAAAAUACAUUUUUGCCCCCAACGGUAGUUAACGACCGAUGCAUCUUUUCAGUUGUAGUUAACUACUGCUAAGCCAGCUGCAAUUAACUGCAGUUGGCUCAGGUACACUUAAGUGUAGUUCCGGGCAAAGGAUCAAUUGUGAUUUUGCGUGUUUUAGACGAAAAAUCAAAAUAAAUCGAGGCUUAUUCGGAAUGCUACGACACUUUGCAGAUCCUCUAUGUGUAUAUUUAUAAGGUGUAUCGUAGCAUUCCGACUAAGUCUCAAUUUAUUUUCAAGUGCGCGUCCGAAAAAGUGAUCUAGAUAUUGAUUUUUUUCAUGCUUUUUUGCAUGCAUGUUUAGGAUAAAAAACAUCUUCCAUAAAAAAUUUGAAUUUUCCGACAAGGGACGGAUUAAAUAUGAAUUUUUAACACGCAUAAAACUCAUGACAUCAAAACAUUGAAUUAGAAAUUGAAUUUUAAGCUUUUUUUUUUUGCAGACACCUCUAUAAAAAUACAUAUAGAGGAUCACGAAAGUUUCGUAGUAUUCUAACUAAGCCUCGAUUUAUUUUGAUUUUUCGACCGAAAAGUGUAAAAUCGCAAUUUUUUUCCCAAGUGUGCUUCUGGAAAAGUGACGUAGAGGAUGAAUUUUUUUCAUUAUUUUUUUGCAUGCAUGUUUAGGACAUAAAAACAACAUCUUCUACAAAAAAAAUUAAAAUUUUCCAACAAGGGACAAAUUAAAUAUGAAUUUUUAAUGCACCAAAAACUCAAGAAACGAAAAUAUCAAAACAUCAACCUAGAAAUCAAAAUUUGAGUUUUUUUUUUUUUUUGCAGACACCUCUAUAACAAUACAUAUAGAGGAUCGAAUCAAAUGGGGAAGGUCAUUUUUUUGUAUUUAGGCCUUCCGAUUGGUGGUGAUUUGAGUCGUUUAAUGUUUUGGGAGCCGGUAUUGGAUCGAAUCAAAAAGAGAUUAUCAAGGUGUAGUAAAUUUCUUUCAUUUGGUGGUCGUAUGGUUCUCUUCAAGUUUGUCUUAUCCUUCAUUCAUGUCUAUGCUCUUUCCUUCUUCAAAGUCCCGUCAGGUAUAAUCUCUUCCAUGAAAUCUAUAUUUAUAAAAAAAAAAAAAAAAAAAUUGGGGUGUGUGUGAGGAUCAUAGGAAAAUCUCAUGGGUUGCUUGGAAUAAUAUUUGUGUCAGUAAGGAGUCUAGAGGUUUGGGGGUGCAGAGGAUGAGGGAGUUUAAUAUUGACCUGUUAGAGAAAUGGUGUUGGAGGUUACUAGUCGAUAAAAACAGUUUGUGGUAUAGGGUGUUGGUAGCUCGUUAUGGUGAGGAGGAUGAGAGGUUGAAGGUUGGGGGCCAGAGUGUUUCUUCGUGGUGGAGGGAGGUGGCGAGUAUUCGUGACGGGUUAGGAGAGACAGGUGAUGGUUAGUUUAAGGAGAAUGUUGUGCGCAAGGUCAGUAACGGGGCAAAUACGUUGUUUUGGGUGGAUCAGUGAGUGGGAGAUGUGCCUCUAUGUGUGCAGUUUAGCCGUUAUUAUGACUUAGUAGUGAUUAAGUCUAUUACUGUGGCUGAAAUGUUUUUUUUUGGGUGUGAGAAAGGUGGGGAGGCUUGGCAGUGGCGUCGGCGGUUGUGGACUUGGGAGGAGGAGUUGUUAGGGAAGUGUAGGAUGUUAAUAUCUAACAUUUCUUUAAAGAAAACUUCUACAGAUCGAUGGGUGUGGAGGCUCCGUCGAAUGUUAUACAGUUAGUGGUGUUUACCAUAUGCUCACCAGUCAACCAGUUCAGACAACAAAUGUGAUAUCAUAUUUAAUUUGGCACAAACAAAAGUUCCUUUGAAGGUCUCUGUUCUUGUGUGGCGCCUCAUCCGGAAUAGAUUGCCAACAAAGGAUAAUCUGUUCGCUCAUGGAAUCAUUCCUCACGGCAAUCAUCAUUAGGGCUGGACAAGGACCCGUGACCCGGCCCAAACCGAAAAAAACCGAGGGGAAAACCCGAAACUGAGCGGGUUAAAACGGGUCCUCGGGUCAGCGGGUUACAGAUACGGGUAUACAAGGGUUUACAUGGGCAGAGGCGGGUAAAGGAUCUUCACCCGCGGGUACCCGAACCAGCCCGAGUUACACUACAAUAUUUUUAUUUAUUCACAUUUGAAAACCAGGUUGUAGUAUUUCCUCUUUUGAGAAACACAACCUGCAAAACCACACAUAAACUGCAAAACCACUACUCUUUCUUGAAAACUGUUGGCUUUCUCUCUCUCUCUCUCUCUCAGUUGUAUUGCAUUUAUUUUUAUUAUAUACAAUUAAUUGUUUCGAAACAAUUUAGCAUUAUAAUAAUAACCUUUUUUGACUAAUGUACUACUUUAUAUCAUAUUUAUUAAUAUUGACCACCAGUAUUUAUUUUCCUUUAAUUUUCAUUUAAAGCUACCUGUAAACCUGAAUCUCUCUCACUACUUCUUCAAACGCAAACGCAUGCUUCAUCAUCUCAUUGCUUCUCUAGACUAUCUUCUCUAAGCUAACAACAUGCUCUAUCACUCUCUUGUUUUUCGAUGGACUAUCUUCCUCCUCUGUCCUCUUCUUUAGCUUCUUUUUAAUCUCAUUCUUCUCAAAUCUCAUUUUUCUUGGUCUUCUUCAUCUUGGUUGGUGUGUUGAUACAUACACAGAUCGGAGGAUACUAUACUGUUUUUUCAUUUUUUUUUCUCUGAAUCUUCAAAACCGCACAUACCCGCUCGAUAAACCUGUGGCCCGAAAGACCCAAACCCGUACAAACCGAAGAAGAAAAAUGGGUAGAAAUGGGUUGCUACACACAAACCGCGGGUUGGUAUGGGUUGAAGGUUUGGGCCCGAACCCUCCCGAACCCGUCCGAUGUCCACCCCUAAUCAUCAUUGUGUGGCGGGAUGCGGCGAGGUCGAAACAGCCCAAAAUCUGUUAAUUUCCUGUCCGAUUUUUGCAGGAAUUUGGGGACAUAUUCGGUCCUAGUUGGGAAUAGUUUCAGCAGAGCCUUUUCGAGUGACAGAGCAUUUUUAUCAGUUUGUUUACUCAGCAGGUGAGUUGCGUGUCGAUUGGUUAUGUUGUCUGUCGAUUGUGUGGAAUGAAAGAAACAUUUAGAUCUUCAAAAAUACAUAGAGUAUCAUUCAUCAAUUGGUAGAGAAAGUCAAAUUACGAUCCUUUUGGUGGAUGAAGUCAUUUAAUUUUUCUAUCCGGCCAAAUUUUCAUAUGCAGUGGUCGAGCGCUUUUGUUUGUUUGAACAUUGGCUAACCUGUGUUUUAUCUUUUUCUAUGGCCGUGUAAUUAGAGCUGUCAAAACGGACCGGCCCGUUUAGCCCGAAUAAAUAUAGGGCUUGGGCCUAAAAUAUUGAGCCCGAAUUUUAAUAGGGCUUUUAGCCCGGCCCUUAAAACCCGGUACCCGUUAGGGCUAGCCCGAAUGGGCCGCGGGUAGCCCGUUAGCCCGCAUAACAAAAAAAAAUUCUAUAAAUUAUAUAUAUUUUUCAAAUAAUUAUUUACUUAGUUGAUUAUCCAUGUAAAAAAUAAAAGUGAAAAUUCAAUGAAUUAACACAAAUAUAAAUGUAAUAUAAAAUUAUAUUUAUUCAUUUCGUUAUUUAUAGUUUUAAAGAUCGAAUAUAUAAAUAUCUAUAACCAUAACAUAAUUAAUUUAUUUAAAAUCAUUUUCCUCGUCGUUUUAGUUUACAACGUUUGUACGAAAAUGUUUACAAUUUACUUUUGUGCUAGACAUUAUUUAAACAUAUUAAAAAUAUUAUUUAUAAAAAAAUUAUAGUAGUGUUUUAUAGUACUUUUUUAAAAUAAAAAAUAUAUAAUUUUUAAUACGGGCCGGCCCGUUUAGCCCGCGGCCCGUGUACUAUAUUUCAAACCCGUUUUGUCAACCGGGCUUUUUGGCCCAGCCCGCUAAAGCCCGAAGCCCGCUAGGGUCGGCCCGUUUUGACAGCUCUACUUGUAAUUGUGUAAUUUUGAGCUAGCACACCUUGUGCUUGAGAAUUCUCCUGAUUACUAAUAUAUUCCAUUUUUUUUGUUAAAAAAAAAAUUAAUCAUCGUUAACACCAAUAAAACUUCAUAUCUAUAGUAUUUAAGUAAGAUUAAUCUAAACCAAAUCAACCAAUACACUAUAGUUAGUAACAAAAUCGACAAUUGAAAAAUCACACUACACUAUACAAAUAAUAAUGAAGUUUUUUGAAGGAAAAAACAAUAAUGAAGUUGUCAGCAAUUUGAAAUGGUAUAAAAGAACCGUCUAUCGACCUUAUCCACCGAACACUAAAUCAAUCUUUGAAUUAAUGCUAUUGCUACAUAUGGUAAUCUAGAAAUAGCUCUAGAAAAAUCAAAAUGAAGAAAAAUUAAACGCGUAUAUACCAAACUGGAAAAUUCCGCGUUACGUAUAGACAAAUAACACCUCACUCACCAUGCAAAUAAUUCAUGAACCAAUUCAUAUACAGUCUGUCGUAUACUUAACUUGCAAACACAAACAAAGAAAAACAAUUAAUAGUAUCUAUCAAAAUACAAAAUUGCAAUUAAAAUUGUCAAAAAAGAAAAAAGUAAUAAUAUUUUUUAACAAAUGUGGAAAAUAAUUUGUUAUUUUUAUUUGACCCAUUAUUCCUCCAAGUCACAUCACACACCGUCCUAGCUAAAAACACAAGCAAUAUAAUAAUCCAUUGUACACUAUAUAUACACAAGCAAUAUCAUAGUUCUUUUCUAUCCAUUACCAAUUCUCCUCAACUCAAAUCUAAUCAUCUUUCACUACUCAUUUUUUUAGUUCUAAAUUUCUAAUUAACAUUUUUCUCUCUCAAAAAAUAUAUACAACAUGGGUUUUUCUUCAAUCAAAUUGUUUGUGAUAUUAGGUCUUUUGGCUACCUCAUGCCUAGCACAAGCUCCUGCACCAGCACCCACACAAUCAUUAUCACCAAAUUCAGCACCAGUUCCAUCAUCCUCCACAAGGUCACCAACACCCUCUCCUGCAGUUUCUCCUUCAACCUCUUCUUCUCCAGGCCCAAGCCCUAACACAUCUUCCCCACCAGCACCAGGCUCAAAUAGCCCAGCAUCAGGCCCAGGUGGGCCCGGACUAGAGCAGCCAGGAGCUGAGUCACCCUCUGCUGCAUUCUCUAUUAGCAACACUUUUGUUGCUGUUACCGCAUUUGCUGGAAUCUUCUUGUCCAUGGUUUUAGCUUAAUGGGUCUAUACAUAUUUUUUUUAUUUUAUUUUUAUUGAAUUCAUGGUUUAGUCGGUUGAGAAUUCUAUUUAUUUAUUUUUUAUAGGCAAUAAAUUGUUAGUUUUCUUUUGUUGAAUAAAUUAAUAAAAUGUUAGUGAUUGAUGAUGAUAUUAUAUCAUAUUAGUCUUUUUUUUGUUUCUGAAUUCACUCGAUUAUAUUAAAAAAAAAAAUGCUAAAAUAUGAUUUUGGUCCCUGCAAAUAUAGUGAGUUUGGGUUUUGGUCCCUGGUAAAAAAAAGUUUUGAAAUUCAUCCCUGCAAAAUUUUUUAUUUUUUAAAAUAGUCCUUGGACCCACUUUAUUGAUGAUUUGGCUGAUUUUUGCUCAGGUGGCAGAUGAUGACUGUACAUACGUUGAUACAUGUGGCAUUUAAGUUAAUUUAAAUAUUUAUAAAAUAAAAUAAUAAAUCAGAAAUUGGUUUUACUUUUUUUUAAUUAUAUUUUUUAUUUUUAAUCAACCUUUUAUUUUUGUUAUAAAAGUCAAUCAUCUUCUCCAAAUAUCCAACAACAUACACAGUAAAAAAUCUUCAAACAAACCCAAAUUAGUGACAAAUCAAACCCAAAUUCAAAUUUAGUCAACUUCUCCAAAUUCAAUCAAACCCAAAUUCAAAUUAAUUAUCUUUUCCAAUACAGUAACGAAAAGCUUCAACCAACAAAGUAAUGCUUUCAAUUCACUAAUCAAUCCACUCUUGCACCAUCACCGGACCCUCCAAUUCCACCUUUUUUUUCAACAAAACUCAAUCUGAUACCCUCUUCUCCCUUUCCACUAACUUAAAUGACACCAGAAGAUUAAAUGGGUUUACACUUGUUUAGAGAUUAAUAAAUAUGAGUUAAGUGGUAACAUGCUUCACUGUUUGUGUUCUAAUGAAGGAUCCAAAGGUUCACUUACCUAGUGUAAAAGAGAUUCUAUUUGUAAUUCUAGAUCUGUUGGUGUUGUUGAAGAAGACAUGAAGAAGAUGAGAAGAGGGAGAAAUGUCAGACCCAAAAAAAUAAACAGAAAUUAGGUUUGGAUUGAAGAAUAAAGGCUAAAGGUAGGUGUGGUGGAUACAAGUAUGAUGAAGAUGAUGGAUGGAGGAAGAUGACGGAUGGAUGAAGAUUGACGGAGAAGAAUGGGAAAAUUGGAAACCCUCCCCUUUUUUUAAUAAUUUUAUUUUAGUUAAUUUUUUUUUAUAAAAUGUUAAAAUAAGUUAAAUACCAGUCUGCGCCACAUGUACAAGAUUGUACCGUCAUCAUCUGCCACCUAAGCAAAAACCAGCCAAAUCAUCGGUAAAGUGGGUCCAGGGACUAUUUUAAAAAACAAAAAAAUUUGCAGGGAUGAAUUUCAAAACUUUUUUUUACUAGGGACCAAAACCCAAACUCGCUAUAUUUGCAGGGACCAAAAACAUAUUUUAGCCAAAAAAAAAAAUCACUCUAUUAUGUAGAUGAUGAAUUGAUCAUCAAGAUUUUCAUUCAAGUCUCUUUAAAUUCAAUCGUCAUUUCAAUUCAUGUCCUUCUAUUUUAUAGUGAAUCAUCUAGCAAACUAUUUUUAGCCAAUUAUUUUAAAAGUGUCUACCACUUGAUUUGAUUCCAGACAUUCCUCUAAAUAAGUUUUCCUUCAAAACAACAAAUGUGAUGAAUCUCAUCCACUUGAGCAAAGCACGAAUGAGUUAUAUUUAUACGCAACAACGGUCCAAUAAUAAACCCACAACAUUUUUAGAACCACUCUAAGCAAUUAAGCUUAUAUGUACUUUUAAUCCAUCUUCUUUCAAAAUAAAAUAAAAAAGUCCAUCUAUUUAAAAUAUGUAUAUAUAUGAAAUUGUGAUCUCCUAUUUCAAAAAAUCAUAUUUUCGCACCCUAUUUGACUUUAAAAAAAAAUAAAAAAUUGUUAUGACUUAUUUUUGGAUCAUUUUUCUUAUAAUGUAGUCCGUUCUUUUAUGACUUGGGAGAUCUUAUUAAACAUAUUUUUGUUGACAUAGAUAUUCACUGUAAUCUGAUAAGUGUUGUCAUUUUAUAAGUGAAUAUGUCACGUCAUAAAAAAUACUAAAAAAAAAUGAGACAGGGAUAAAAAAAAACUGAUUUUUAAAAAACAAAACGUAAACUUUAUUUUAUAAAAAUAGAGGGAUCAAAAUUCAUUUAAAUCAAACAAUUAUUUGAUGAAAACCAUUUAAAUCAAACAAAUAUUUGAUGAAAACCUUACUCCAAGCUAUCUCUAGACCAUGAUAGAUCCCCCAUAACUUUGCUUCUACCAUUGAGCACGUUCUUAAACUCGAAGCAAAACUAUAAAUACACCCAAUUAGCAUGUUACUCAAAAUAGUCACAAAGUCUUGAGAUGGAUCCACCCAAUUGAUGUGUGAGAGGGCAGCCCAUACCAAUCGAGUCACCAAUAUUAAAGAUCUCAAAUUCUUUAUAGUAUUCCUUUCCGUCAUAUUUAUAUGAAAAAUUUAAGUCAAUAAAAGUUUACGUAUGUAGUUAAAAAUUCAGUCUAGAUACAUCAAUUUUUGUUGACCAAACUUUCUUUUAUAAAUAAAACCGAAUGGAGUAAUACAUAUUUUCCCUUUAAAAGACUAAACGCCAAAUACACAUCAAUCAUCUCUCCAAAAACUAAACUCGAGGUAACAUAUUACACAAAUUGCUCAUCAAACAAUUAUGCCAGCUCUUUGAGGAAAAUAAUUGAGUAUUAGAAACAAGGGUUAAAUGAUGUUUACUCCUUUCAUUUGGCGAGUUUUGGCAACUUUAUAAUUAAGAUUUUUUUAUUUUGAACCUUCAUGACAUCAAAUUUCAAAAUUUAAUUAAGUUAUUUUCGUCCCUUGUAAUUGGAGCAAAUUUUGGUUUACCCCCUUGCCAUAUCAUAUAUUUUGUUCCGUCAAAACUUAUGAAGGUCCCAAAUCAAAGAAUCUUCAAAUUACAAGAUUAGAAUCCAAAGUUUUUUUUUAUAAGGAAAUAACGCGAAACUCGCCCAAAUAACGCGGAAUCAUUUUACCCUAGAAAUCUUAAUAUAAUGUUGCUUCAAGAUGUUCAUCAACAAUCUUGUAUACAUUGUUUUAGAGAAAUUGAAACCUCUGGUUACUAAUUCGUAAGUUGUUCAAAGACAAGCACGAUUUUGGAUCACAUUUUCAAAUGGAUGGAAUGAUAUAGGUUGGGUUGAUGAAUAUGGUCGAUAACUUUCUACUAUUCAAAGAUGUAUGCAAAGGGAAGAAUUUUAAGAAUCAAAGUUUGGAACAAUAGUCGUUGUCACGUUAAGGUUUUCACAAUUUUGGCCAUGACGAAUGUUGCGACAUCAUAUACGGUUGUCGUGGUGUGAAUUAAUCUUUUAAUAUAUAAUAACAUAAAUUAUUCUUUUUACCCAUUAUUAUAGAUGUUUAAAGUAAAUAUAAUAAUAAUAAUAAUAAUAUGAAUAAUUUAGUAGCUAUUAUCAACAAUAUAUUCAACAAAGAUUGUAUACUUAAGAUUCAUGCUAAAAAGGAUUCAAAAAAUGAAAAUAAGUGAUAAGUUUUUAUGUAAAAAAGUUACUUGUUAAUGUUUUAAUGUGUUAAAUAUACUAUUGCCAAAUAUAAUUUCCUCUUUAGCCUUCGUUACAAGUGCCCUUAGGAUAUCUAUUAGAAUUUCCAUAUCAUUGGACAAAAUUCGUGAUAAAUUAACUACAUUAAAUUCACAGCAUAAGAAACCGCUAAUACAUUUGAAAAGACUGAAGAAAAAAUAUUGAUUACAUCACUAAUCAUCACAUGUUAGAACGACAUGCAUGAUCAUAACUUCAGUUAUCACAUUUAUAACUUUUAUUUCCACUUCCUAUAAAUACAUAAUCAAAUAACCUAGAGCUUAUUAUUGGUGGUUCAAUUUGUUGUUAGUCAUAUGAAAAACUUGUUUACGAGCCAUUGUAAUUCAUAUGAGGUUGGUUAUAACAUGGUGCAUUCGGGUUAUGCAUGAAUCAAUGAUAUCCAUGCAACAUAUAAAAAGGUUAUUGGUAAUAUGAUGGAUGAAUCAAAAUCAUAUUAGCACGAGGAAGAAUCAUCUAAUGGAGUCUCUUCAUGCUUUCUACUUUUACCAUGUCUUGCUCGACCUCUGCUACUACCAUUAACAAUCAUAUUAGCACGUGGAUCUUUUUCCAUUCUACGGGGAAACAUAUUUUGAUCAUGCCUAACAUAUGAUUCUUUUUUAAAAGAACGAAAUGACCUUUCACUUAUUUUAUGUAUUUGUUCAUGAGUACCAUUGCAACCAUUUCCAAGACCAACACCCUAAUUCUACUUUAUAAAUACUAACUCAUAGACAAUGGGUCAGGUACGCUCACUUCUAUCCACAUAUACCUAUCAUUCAACAAUGCCUACUUACUUGAUUAUAAGUUAAAAUCAAAUUAUUUCAUAUCAAUCAAUAUUGUCAAAUAUAACAUAAUAUAAGUAAUUAUUACACUCAUUAAUUACUAUACUAUCAUGACCUAUUCAUUUGAGAUUUAUACUUUUCAAAGUAGUUCCUUUUACUCCAUUCUUAAACUCUUUGAACAAAUUCAAAGAUGUAUAGCUUGUGUCCAAUACACAUAUAACAUAUUCACAUCUAUUAAGCUCAUUAGUAAUGUAGAUGAAGUAAGAGAAAUAAAACAUAUCUAGAAAAUAUGUUUAGUAGUCUAUCGACUUCCCACAAGAAUGUAAUUCUAAUAAAUUAUCAGAUGUUCUUUCAUAAUUUUUAAUAAUAUUUUACUUUUUGGUGUUGCAUUAGGUAGUAAGGGGGCAAAUGUGUCAACCUAGUUGGAAUGUCUCCUCUCCAUCUUUUCAAUCUUUUUUAUUAUAAAAUAAUAAUAAUUAAUUAUUAGAUAAAUCAUACACAAUUGAUUUUCUCACUUUUACUUAUAUUAAAUACGACUCUUGUAGUCAUGUAUAUCAAUCACCAAGAAACAUAAACAACCAACUACAUACAUAUCAGUCACAAACAAUACCAGUGACUAACUACAUGCAUGACUCUUGAAUAUAUUCUCCAUGUAUUAAAUAUAUAAUGAAUAUUAUAUAUAUGCUAGAAAUACAAAAUGAUUUUAAAAUCUAACUUUUAUUACGUUUAUAUAUCAAAUAACUGAAUUUUUCUAAUUUAAUUAUGAAUUCAUGCAAUGUUAUUUUUUUUUUGGACAAAUUAUAAAUUCUUGCAGUUACUACUUUGAACGUAAACAUAAAUCUUGUUUGAUGUAUAUUAUUUCUCUUCACCUAUUAUUUUGUAUUUUCCUCUUUUUUUUUCUUUCUUUUCUUUCUUUCAUCUUUUUGGAUAGAUGCGUGAAAAUAAAAGAAACUUGUGCAAACUCAUGAGUAUAUUACAAGUUCAUAAACAAAAAUUGGCACACUUCUAACUAUUUACAUAUGUUAUUAUAAUAAAUUGACCCCCCAAACAUGUAUACCAAAAUAAAUAUUUAUUAAGUUUCUGUACCAAUUAACUAUGUUUAUUACGGUUUAAGUCUUUUUUAAGGAUUAAUUUCUCUUUUUUGAGGUGUUAACCCUCCGGUUUUCAGAGAAAGGGGACCCUAAUAAUCUGAAGUUUAGUUGAUAGGUAAAUAUAGUCUGACCAAUAAAUAUUCUACUCAGUAAUUUACUUGGUUUCUCUCCAAAGAUUCAUCUCUUGUUGGAACUUAUUUACCACUUAAACUCAAUUGUUUGGCUUAUAUUGUCUUUUCAUUGAUGCAUUAUUCAUGCAACUAAAUUUUCCGUCAUCCAACACUAAAAAAUUAUGGAGCGAAAAAAAAAACUAUUAUUGCUUCUUGAAAUAACCAUGUUGUGUUCUUUUGCAUGUGUUUCAUUAAAAGCUAUUAUAUUCUUUUGAAAAAAAUUAAAGGCUAGUAGUAUAUAAAAUAAAUAAUAAAUGGUUUGUAGAAAAAAUUUAGUAAACUCUAAUGAUUGUCUUGUCUGUUAGAGGGGCUUUGGGCCUCUUCCAGAGAUGGAGAAGAUUAGUCAAGGUUUCAUGUUUAUACCAUGGCUUAAUGAUAGGGUUGUUCAUGAAUCGUGCUUUUGUGGCGGUUCUCUGUGGGUGGUGUUUUGGUCCUUUUUUUCUUAUACUUUGGUGUAGGGGUUGUAGUUUUUGUGUGUUGUGGUUGAUGUUUAUCUUUUGAUUUUCUUUUUGGGUAUUUAAGGUACCUAUGGUAUUCUUCCCCUCUUUGCAAUGGUUUUAGUCUCUUUAUUUAGACAAAAUCAUAAUUUGGUCUCCAUAUUUUCAAUUGCGCAAUUUUGGUCCCCCAUUUCAAUUUUGUAUGAAUCAUGACUUUGAUCAUCCUAUUUGAUGAUGUGGUCGUAAAUUAUUCACUUUCAGCCCCAUGUAUCGUUUUAAUUGAUCAUCUUUUGCCUUUGCAUAUCUGGUUAUGACUCAAUUUAACAUCCUAUUUUUGAAGACUCGACAAUUAGGCCCUUCAUUUUCAUAUCUAGUUAUGCAAUAUAUAUUGUCACGUCUUAAAAUGAGAUGGUUAAAAUCAUGGAUUGUUAAAUAGUUAUGGAAUGAAGGGAAAUUGUGAAAUUAAAAAUAAGGAGACCAAAAUUACGGUUUUACUAAAAUAAGAGGAUCAAAGCUGCAUUUAUGUGAAAUUCUUACUACAGUCGAGUGAUGAGUCAAUAAUUAAUCGUUUUAGUAUAAUAUUUAGUUUCGUUUUAUUUAGAUCUAAGUUUAUUAUAUUUAAAUAUUAUUUUCUUUUAGAGCUAUUUUACUUCAAUUGCAUAUUAUUAUAUUUUAGAAACGAAUGUUUGACAGAUUGAGUCUUGAGCAAAAGGAAGAGGAUUAGGAGCUGAUUCAGAUGAAAAAUACGAAGAUUGAAGACGAAAAUAUAUCCUCACCAAGUCAGAAGCUUGGCACGACCAGUGCCACCAAUUGGCACGGUCGUGCCACCUCCCAGGGGCUUUUUUGCUGCUUUUGCUUCAUGAUCUAGCUGCCUGUUUUGACCAAAAAGUCUGUGGUUUCUUGUGGAACAUUCUAGUGAAUAGUUGCUUAGGUUUUAAGUCGACAAUAAGACUAUAAAUAGAGUAGCUAGCUAUCAUUAACAUUCAUCUUUUGUUCUUGGAAUUCAAUAAGUGACAAUUGUCUUUCUUACUAAAAGUUCUUUUCUUUUCCUUUACUUUCUUGUUAUUUACUUUUAUGCUUUUCUUCUUCUUCUCCAUGUCUACGAUGAACAUGAGUGAGUAGACUCUUCUUAUCUUGGGAUUGUUGGAUAAGUCUAAUGACAUAAUCCUAAUCAAACCAAACCAUAAACCUUAGUUUUAUAUAAAUCUACUUUCUAAUCUAAUUUCACAGGUUUUAUAAUGAAUUAGCAAUUAGUAAGCUAGGAAGCGAACACGGAGGGUUUAGCACUUGUUAAUUCAUCAUCACAAAUAUUAGGCGAAGGAUCGAAAGAUGAAGUUUUAAUAUUGGAACAAGUGAAAUUAGAAAAGGGUUGCGAAACAUGAGAAUAGUCUAGCAAACCUUGAGACAUAUAAAGUUUUGUUCUUCAAGGAUUCUAAUAGCAAUCAACCAUGAGAAUAGGCGUGGUUGCAAGAAGAACACACUCACUGAGACCGAAAGGAGAUGUGAUAGGCUAAAGAGAAACUUGUCUUUAGAAAGUAGGUCAAAUAUAAAGUUAGAGGUUUAGGGUUUGUUUGUGAAGAAUUCGUUGUUAUGAUGAACCAAUAAUCCUAAGGCUUCUUUUAUUAUUAUUUUCUUCCGUUAAAAAUCAAACCUUUUUCAACUGAAACUUCUUCUAAUCAUUCUCUAAAAGUUAGUUAAAUUGAACAACUUCCUAUCAGAACGAUACUCUUUUAUUACUACACCGGUAUAACCGUGCACUUGCGGUUUUAGAUAUCAAUCGAGUGAACUAAAUGAACAAAAACUCAUUGCAUUUUUGCACAAUAAAAUAAUCAAGUGUUUUUUAUCUGUUUAAUAAUAUGUAGAAAAAGUAGGACUAAAACUGUCAAGUUUAUUAUUGUUUUUUCAAAAGACAACGAUCAAGUUUAUUUAUACAUUAACUUGUAUGAUAGGAUACUUUUGAAUCUGCUAUAAUAAUAUUUAAUAAUGAUUCGACUUUUAGGAAGAGUUUUAAACUAAAAUCUAUAUAUUUAAAAAAUAAAAGCAAAUAUAGCACAUAGUAUUUUUCUAUUGUUGAUGUAGACAUAUUUUUUACAUUAUAAAGUUAUCAAACAAUUUUUAUUGUUACAUACAUAGAAGGAAAACCAUGACUAUAAUUAUCAAAUUUGUUUAUAUUAUGAUCCUACUUUUUUUCCCAUUUCUUGUGGUAUCCCAAAUUUUUCGUAAGCCUUUUAUAACCCUUUCAACUUUAUGUUACCUUAUAGACAAUCUUUCAUUUGCUUUUAUUAACGUUGUUUUUUCUUCUUCUUCUUGUUUUGCAUCACAGCAAAAUGGUGUUUGUAUGACAAGGAUUGUCCACAGAACAUGUGUCGUCCUGGUCGAAUUCCGAAGUGCAUUUUUGGACAUUGUAAUUGCGUUAAACAGCGGAGUUGAAAAAUAAGUAUGUAUUAUGUAUAUCUAUACUAUAUAUACAAAAGUCAGAUUAACUUCUGCCUUUAGGGUACAUGUUAAGAAACUAAAAAAUAGAAAUAUUUUCUCAAGUUUUGUGCAUUGUAUGUAUUACAAAUUCAAAAAUUAAAAUCAAUCCACACAUUUCAACAAAAAAUUAUUAUAUUAUAUUUAUUAAUUUAUGUCUUAAAGACACAAGAUAGCUUUUCCCUAAAAAAAGAUGAGUUUGAACCGUCUUUUUCUCUUUUCAAUUUGAUCCUUCAUCUAAAAUAUUUUAUUUACUAUUUUAUCCUUUUUAUACAAAUAUUUAAAUUAGUAAUUAAAAAAUAGAUAAAUCUCAUUAUAAUACUCUACUACAAUAGAAACAAUAUUAUCUUAAAAAUAUAUAAAUAAAAUAGACGAUUUUGAGUUGGAUUUUUUCAUUAUUCAAAUUAUACUGUUAAACAAAUUUUUCUAUAAUAUUGUUAUAUUGUUGGUAUCAUUGAAAAGGAUAAAAGUUUAUAUUAUAUUUGCAAUAUUGUUGUGUAACUCUAAAAUAUAAGCAUGAUUUGCUACAAUAAACCACAAACAUCUAUACAUAUAAUUUUAAUCGAAAUCUAAAUUUCAUAAAAAAAUUAUUUAUAAUUUACACUUGUUAUUGCAAUAAAAAGAACAAAUAGACGGGCAUGGAGUGCCCGUCAAUCGCUAAUGCAUAUAAUAUUACCUUACUAUCAUAAUAAUAGUACUCUUGUAAUUUGACAAAGGCUCUCACAUUGGAUAGGAGAUGACCUGACAAUAUGUUUAUAAGUGGGAACAAUCCUCACUUCAUAAGCCGAAUUUAUGAGGUUGUGUUAGACCCAACCACGAUUUCUAAGACGGUAUUAGAGUCUCCUCAAGAUCCAUUGAAUCACAUGUUUCUACUAUCGGGCCACCCACCAUUUAUGUCCAUGAGCGAAGCCCAAUAGUGCUGGUCGUGAGGAGUGUAUUAAAGAGUCUCACAUUAGAUAUGAGAUGACAUGACAA